Molecule: transfer RNA, 76 nt
Filed under: Aedes aegypti (yellow fever mosquito)
Lineage: Eukaryota; Metazoa; Arthropoda; Insecta; Diptera; Culicidae
Description: partial tRNA-OTHER
Source: RNAcentral
GGCUCGCUAACUUAGUUGGUAAAGCGCUCCUCUAACUAGCAUUCAAGAGUCCUGGUUUCAAAUCCCAGCCGAGCAC